CCUACGGGAGGCAGCAGUGGGGAAUAUUGCACAAUGGGCGCAAGCCUGAUGCAGCCAUGCCGCGUGUGUGAAGAAGGCCUUCGGGUUGUAAAGCACUUUCAGCGGGGAGGAAGGCGUUAAGGUUAAUAACCUUGUCGGUUGACGUUACCCGCAGAAGAAGCACCGGCUAACUCCGUGCCAGCAGCCGCGGUAAUACGGAGGGUGCAAGCGUUAAUCGGAAUUACUGGGCGUAAAGCGCACGCAGGCGGUCUGUCAAGUCGGAUGUGAAAUCCCCGGGCUCAACCUGGGAACUGCAUUCGAAACUGGCAGGCUAGAGUCUUGUAGAGGGGGGUAGAAUUCCAGGUGUAGCGGUGAAAUGCGUAGAGAUCUGGAGGAAUACCGGUGGCGAAGGCGGCCCCCUGGACAAAGACUGACGCUCAGGUGCGAAAGCGUGGGGAGCAAACAGGAUUAGAUACCCGUGUAGUC
This 465-nucleotide ribosomal RNA is filed under the name uncultured Klebsiella sp. Its description in RNAcentral is "bacterial SSU rRNA". It matches the Rfam family "Bacterial small subunit ribosomal RNA", at positions 338 to 795 of the family's 1533-position model. The record is from RNAcentral. Lineage: Bacteria; Pseudomonadati; Pseudomonadota; Gammaproteobacteria; Enterobacterales; Enterobacteriaceae.